AGGGAAGCCACCAAUUAAAAUUGCCCUGGUGACAAGGUUUCACUGUGGAGCAUGUCAAGAUGGAUGGGUAUACUGGAAUCCAAUGCCAUUUCUACAGUAAAGUGCAAUCCUUGUUGUUUUUGUAUUUAUUUGUAUGUUCAGAUCCAAAGGAUCCGUUGUAAAAAGUCAGUUUAUACAAGGGUAUUUGCUUUCCUUGGACUUGUUCUUCAUUUAUUUUUUAUUUCUAGCCAAAAUAAAUAAAAGCAUUUAUGAGAACUAUAAGCAAAGCUUUCUGUAUUUCAGAAAGGCGUAAGCUAUUAGAAAGUGAAGAGUGAAUAAAUAAAUAAAUCACAGAGAAUGUAAAUUUUGUACAGUAUUAGAAUGUGUAAAUGAAGCUUGCUUGGAAGGGGAAAACUUUAAAUAAAAACUUUAUGUACU
This 417-nucleotide long non-coding RNA is filed under the name Bos taurus (domestic cattle). Its description in RNAcentral is "long non-coding RNA NONBTAT014948". The record is from RNAcentral. Lineage: Eukaryota; Metazoa; Chordata; Mammalia; Artiodactyla; Bovidae.